AUGAAUGGUCCUCAAAAAUGGCCUGCUUUGUCCCUGCCAUGUGUGAACAUUGUAAAAGUAGCUCCUCAUUGGGUACGGCUGGAGGCCUUUUCGGACAACAGCGGGAAGCUCCAGCUGUCCCUGCAGGAGAUCAUCGAAUGGCUGACAGCUAAAGACGAGGAGCUGUCCGAGCAGCUGCCCAUAGGUGGUGAUGUGGGAGCGGUGCAGCACCAGCGGGAGUUCCACCAGGCUUUCAUGGAAGAUGUCAAAUCCAGAGGGCCCUACAUCUACUCGGUGUUGGAAUCAGCUCAGACCUUCCUUUCACAACACCCCUUCCAGGAGCCUGAGGAGACAUUGCCUGAUGGCAAAGAAGGCUCUCCUCGCCGGCGAAUGCUGAAUGUAAGUCGCUCCGUAUGGAAGCAGGCCAAUGUGGCCAGUGACCUGUGGGAGAAGUUGACAGCGCGCUGCGUGGACCGACACCGGCACAUGGAGCGAACCCUGGAGAGGCUGCUGCAGAUCCAGGCCGCCAUGGAGGAGCUGGCUGUGGCUCUGGAGCAGGCGGAGGGAGUAAGGGACGCCUGGGAGCCUGUGGGAGACCUGUUUAUUGAUUCGCUGCAGGACCAUAUAGACGCUACCAAGCUAUUUAAAGAAGAGCUGACCCAGGUGAAGGAAGGAAUGAAACACAUAAAUGACCUGGCCCACCAGCUGGCCAUAUCCGAUGUGCACUUGUCCAUGGAGAACGCCAGAGCUCUGGAGCACCUCAACAACAGAUGGAAACUUCUGCAGGUAGGGUCUAUUGAAGAACGUCUGAAACAGUUGCAAGAUGCCCACAGAGAUUUUGGCCCCGGAUCACAGCACUUUCUUUCCAGUAAGUGUGGUAACUCACUUGAAGCCGUAGAGUCUUCUGCCGGAGUCCAUCAGGCUCAGACAACCUGCUGGGACCAUCCAAAGAUGACUGAAUUAUACCAAGCUCUGGCGGACCUGAACAAUAUCAAGUUCUCUGCAUACCGGACUGCCAUGAAGCUGAGGCAUGUGCAGAAGGCUUUAAGAUUGGACCUGCUGAAGUUAAGCAGCGUGGUGGACGUGUUUCGAGAACAGGAGCUGCAGCAUGCCGAGCAUGUGAUGGAUGUGGUGGAGGUCAUUCACGCUCUCACUUCCCUGUAUGAGAAACUAGAGGAGGAGAGGUCCAUCCUGAUCAAUAUCCCCCUGUGCGUCGACAUGUGUCUCAACUGGCUGCUGAAUGUUUACGACAGUGGUCGUAAUGGUAAGAUGCGAGUGCUCUCCUUCAAGACGGGCCUGGUUAUUCUAUGCAGUGCAGACAUCCAGGAAAAGUAUAAAUACCUUUUCAGACAGGUGUGUGGUCCAGGUGGACUGACAGAUCAGAAACAUCUCAGCCUGUUACUGCAUGAGGCUAUUCAGAUCCCUCGGCAGCUCGGGGAAGUGGCGGCGUUUGGAGGAAGCAACGUGGAGCCCAGUGUCCGCAGCUGCUUUCGAAUGGCUCCAGGUAAGUCAGCUAUCGAGGUGUCUCACUUUCUGGAGUGGAUGAGCCUAGAGCCUCAGUCUGUGGUGUGGCUUCCUGUUCUACACCGGGUAACUGUGGCAGAGACAGCCAAGCACCAGGCACGCUGCUACAUCUGUAAGCAGUGCCCUAUCAAGGGCUUCAGAUACCGAAGUCUGAAACAGUUCAAUGUGGACAUCUGCCAGAUGUGUUUUCUGACGGGCCGGACUACCAAGGGCAAGAAACUACACUACCCCAUCAUGGAGUACUACACCCCGACGACCUCAGGCGAGAAGAUGCGGGACUUCGCAAAGACGCUAAAGAACAAGUUCCGCUCGAAGCAGUAUUUUAGUAAACACCCUCAGAGGGGAUACCUGCCCGUUCAAUCAGUACUGGAGGUGGAGAUGUGCACUGUCUCCUGUGUGGGGGGACUCAGGGAUGAAGAUCAGUACCUCCUACGUCACUCCAGCCCCGCCCUCGAGCAGGACUCCCCCCACGGCCACCUGCUGGCCCACCUGGACUGCCAGGACAGAGAAGAGCUGCAGCGCACCCUCCAACGCCUGGAGAACGAGAACAGGGUGCUGCAGGGCGAGUAUCGGCGGCUGAAGUGGAAGCAUGAAGAGGCAGCAUCUUCACCUCAGCUGCUGGAAUCGGGUCCCGGUUCACCGGCCGGUCAGCAGGACGAGGAGCUCCUAGCCGAGGCUCGAGUCCUUCGACAGCACAAGACCCGCCUGGAGACGCGCAUGCAGAUUCUAGAGGACCACAACAAGCAACUGGAGUCCCAACUACACAGACUCAGAGAACUACUGCUGCAGCCCAAAGACGACUCAGAGGCCAAUGGCUCAGAUCCUUCUUCUCUAUCGUCGCCUGUGUCAGGGGGUGGCCAGCAGGGGGAGCCUCCCAGUAGAGAGACCACAGACACAGAAGCUGCAGGUACACCCGGAAUAACCUUGCAGCUUUGCUGUCAUCCUGCCAACAUGGACCCAUAA
This 2466-nucleotide long non-coding RNA is filed under the name Sinocyclocheilus grahami. RNAcentral describes it as "lncRNA (ENSSGRG00000052898.1)". Lineage: Eukaryota; Metazoa; Chordata; Actinopteri; Cypriniformes; Cyprinidae. The record is from RNAcentral.